Molecule: ribosomal RNA, 253 nt
Filed under: uncultured bacterium
Lineage: Bacteria
Description: partial 16S ribosomal RNA
Rfam family: Bacterial small subunit ribosomal RNA
Source: RNAcentral
UACGAAGGGGGCUAGCGUUGCUCGGAAUUACUGGGCGUAAAGCGCACGUAGGCGGAUUGUUCAGUCGGGGGUGAAAUCCUGGAGCUCAACUCCAGAACUGCCUUCGAUACUGGCGAUCUCGAGUCCGGGAGAGGUGAGUGGAACUGCGAGUGUAGAGGUGAAAUUCGUAGAUAUUCGCAAGAACACCAGUGGCGAAGGCGGCUCACUGGCCCGGUACUGACGCUGAGGUGCGAAAGCGUGGGGAGCAAACAGG